This 314-nucleotide ribosomal RNA is filed under the name uncultured Bacillota bacterium. Its description in RNAcentral is "bacterial SSU rRNA". It matches the Rfam family "Bacterial small subunit ribosomal RNA", at positions 28 to 351 of the family's 1533-position model. Lineage: Bacteria; Bacillati; Bacillota. The record is from RNAcentral.
GAUGAACGCUGGCGGCGUGCCUAACACAUGCAAGUCGAGCGAUUCUCUUCGGAGAAUAGCGGCGGACGGGUUAGUAACGCGUGGGUAACCUGCCCUGUACACACGGAUAACAUACCGAAAGGUAUGCUAAUACGGGAUAAUAUGCUUUAGUCGCAUGGCUGAAGUAUCAAAGCUCCGUCGGUACAGGAUGGACCCGCGUCUGAUUAGCUAGUUGGUGAGGUAAUGGCUCACCAAGGCGACGAUCAGUAGCCGACCUGAGAGGGUGAUCGGCCACAUUGGAACUGAGACACGGUCCAAACUCCUACGGGUGGCAG